This 1136-nucleotide long non-coding RNA is filed under the name Anas platyrhynchos platyrhynchos (common mallard). RNAcentral's name for it is "lncRNA (ENSAPLG00000030763.1)". Lineage: Eukaryota; Metazoa; Chordata; Aves; Anseriformes; Anatidae. The record is from RNAcentral.
UGUCACACCGCAAGGCUUGAACACCUAGGUUCACACUUCUGAUAAUAUCUUAAUUCCUGGUCUCGCAGCUGAGUCACAGAAUUGGAGGAAAAAGAUCAUCCCCUUCACCCACACCAGGGAUGUAAAACUGUAGAGGAUCAAGAGCUUUGCCCAUCAAAACUUAGAGCUUUCUACUUACAAUUCAAACUACUUGUACUACUUCUUAGCAGCCCCAUUUACCUUGUGGGCAGAUGAAGCCUGCUGGGCAGGGCUGACAGGGGGCAGCGCUGGCAGAGACGUUCCGAUAGCUGCCUGCGUCACAGAUUCUGCAGAAUUUCUCAAAUGAAUCCCUUGGACCAGGCAAGCUGAGGGCCAUGAAUCCUCCUUCACAAGGCAGUGGAUGGGCACUGCCUGGGGGGCAGUAGUAGGGAAACACACACCUGGAAAGCAAAACAAGGCAGGAAGAGAGGAGAAAAUUCUCUGAAAAUGUUCUGAUUUCUGGACUCAAAAAAAAAAACCUUAAAGCUGGCUCCACCAAACACAUGAAGUACUUACAGCUGCUCAGGGCUAUUGUAGGUUGAUGAGCCUUCAGGACAGAAAUAUCCAGCAGGGCACAUGGAAGGCACGGCUGUGUGAGCACCACAGUAUGAGCCAGGCCUGCAAGGCUUUGGAUUCACUGAACCUGGGGAAAAAGGGGAACCAGUGACUGAUUUAUGUGACAUUCACAGAACAGGAGGGCAUGUGUUGGCAAGACAGUGAGCAAUGGAGCUUUAUUAAGUGUUACUGUCCAUAAAAACUCUACUGUUUCUAUUGCUUACAAAAGGACAGAGAUCCUUUGGAAACCAAUUAGUCAUUUAGCAUGAGAUGCUAACACACCUGAGUAUCUAGCCCUGGAUUACUUAUGCCCGCUGUGCACUGCUCACCUAUCUGGACUCAGAAAAAGACGGAAAUAAAGAAAACCAAGAUGCAUGGUUAUAUCACCUGCUGGGCAUUCAAAGCCAGGUUUACAAGGAUGACUAUCACACAGCUGUUAGGAUUCUGUGCCUAUAGAGAGCCAAUUCAACAGCCUUCAGACUCUUCUGGACUGGCAGCUUAGCACCACAAAUUCAAGGUGGCAUAUUUGGCCAGGAACAACUCUUUGUUCAAACGACGUAAAA